This 122-nucleotide ribosomal RNA is filed under the name Leuconostoc lactis. Lineage: Bacteria; Bacillati; Bacillota; Bacilli; Lactobacillales; Lactobacillaceae. The record is from RNAcentral.
UGUCGAGUCGAUAGCAUAGAGGACACAGCUGUUCCCAGUCGGAACGCAGAAGUUAAGCUCUAUCACGCCGAAAGUAGUUGACGGAUCGCUAGCUGCGAGGAUAGUAAUAUGCGAUGCCGUAC